ACGCUCGACACCUACGGGGAGGCAGCAGUGGGGAAUUUUCCGCAAUGGGCGCAAGCCUGACGGAGCAACGCCGCGUGAAUGAAGAAGGUCUUCGGAUCGUAAAGUUCUGUCAUUAGGGAAGAAUGAUCUACGUGUGAAUAAUGCGUAGAAGUGACGGUACCUAAGGAGGAAGCCACGGCUAACUACGUGCUAGCAGCCGCGGUAAUCUGAGCGGGCUGGCAAGGC
RNAcentral lists this ribosomal RNA (225 nucleotides) under uncultured bacterium. Its description in RNAcentral is "partial 16S ribosomal RNA". It matches the Rfam family "Bacterial small subunit ribosomal RNA", at positions 328 to 539 of the family's 1533-position model. The record is from RNAcentral.